CGCUAAAGAACUUGCCUCACAGCUAGGGACAACAUUUAGAAAUGAAUGCUAAUACCUGAUAUUAUGAUUUUAAGGCAUCUUAGAAUUAUGAAAGCUAUAAGCACUGUGAGAGAGCUUUGCGUCCCAUUAGCUAGUUGGAGAGGUAACAGCUCACCAAGGCGAUGAUGGGUAGCCGGCCUGAGAGGGUGAACGGCCACAAGGGGACUGAGACACGGCCCUU
RNAcentral lists this ribosomal RNA (220 nucleotides) under uncultured bacterium. RNAcentral's name for it is "partial 16S ribosomal RNA". It matches the Rfam family "Bacterial small subunit ribosomal RNA", at positions 116 to 334 of the family's 1533-position model. The record is from RNAcentral.